GGAGGAGGAGGAUGAACAUUGUGUGAAGGAGGACUGUGAGGCGGAGGAGGAUGAUGAACAUAGAAAAAGUUGUUAGGAAUUUAAAUAAAGAAGCGAACGACAGACUCUCUCUGUCUCUCUUUCUCUACAUAAUUAGCUCUCUCCGCCCCUUCCUCUCUGGUUUUGACUAGAUGGUAUACAGCUACAGUCAGAUUUAACUUUUCGUAGCAGGUCAGGAAAACUUACACAGAAGGUUAGGACAUUUAUUUAGCAGGUCAGGAGAACUUACACAGAAGGUUAGGACAUUUAUUUAGCAGGUCAGGAAAACUUACACAGCAGGUUAGGACAUUAUUUAGCAGGUCAGGAGAACUUACACAGAAGGUUAGGACAUUAUUUAGCAGGUCAGGAGAACUUACACAGCAGGUUAGUACAUUUAUUUAGCAGGUCAGGAGAACUUACACAGAAGGUUAGGACAUUAUUUAGCAGGUCAGGAGAACUUACACAGCAGGUUAGUACAUUUAUUUAGCAGGUCAGGAGAACUUACACAGAAGGUUAGGACAUUAUUUAGCAGGUCAGGAGAACUUACACAGCAGGUUAGUACAUUUAUUUAGCAGGUCAGGAGAACUUACACAGAAGGUUAGGACAUUAUUUAGCAGGUCAGGAGAACUUACACAGCAGGUUAGUACAUUUAUUUAGCAGGUCAGGAGAACUUACACAGAAGGUUAGGACAUUAUUUAGCAGGUCAGGAGAACUUACACAGCAGGUUAGUACAUUUAUUUAGCAGGUCAGGAGAACUUACACAGAAGGUUAGGACAUUUAUUUAGCAGGUUAGGAAAACUUACACAGAAGGUUAGGACAUUUAUUUAGCAGGUCAGGAAAAGGGUUAGGGUUAGCUAAAAUGCAAAAAAUGCUCCCCGACAUGCAACUUUUUGACAUAACCCUCCUAUGCAUCUCCCCCUC
Molecule: long non-coding RNA, 939 nt
Organism: Oncorhynchus keta (chum salmon)
Lineage: Eukaryota; Metazoa; Chordata; Actinopteri; Salmoniformes; Salmonidae
Exons: 3
Source: RefSeq, a predicted model, not a curated record